UACAGGGGGUGCAAACGUUGCUCGGAAUCAUUGGGCGUAAAGCGCACGUAGGCGGUCUGUUAUGUCGGAUGUGAAAGCCCUCGGCUCAACCGAGGAAGUGCAUCCGAAACUGGCAGGCUAGAGUACUAAAGAGGGUCGCGGAAUUCCCGGUGUAGAGGUGAAAUUCGUAGAUAUCGGGAGGAACACCGGUGGCGAAGGCGGCGACCUGGGUAGAUACUGACGCUGAGGUGCGAAAGCGUGGGGAGCGAACAGG
Molecule: ribosomal RNA, 253 nt
Filed under: uncultured bacterium
Lineage: Bacteria
Description: partial 16S ribosomal RNA
Rfam family: Bacterial small subunit ribosomal RNA
Source: RNAcentral